CCUACGGGUGGCAGCAGUGGGGAAUAUUGCGCAAUGGGCGAAAGCCUGACGCAGCGACGCCGCGUGAGGGAUGAAGGUCUUCGGAUCGUAAACCUCUGUCAGCAGGGAAGAACGGUCACUGUGCUAAUCAGCAGUGAAUUGACGGUACCUGCAAAGGAAGCACCGGCUAACUCCGGGCCAGCAGCCGCGGUAAUACGGAGGGUGCGAGCGUUAAUCGGAAUUUCUGGGCGUAAAGCGCUCGUAGGCGGUAUGUCAAGGCAAGGGUGAAAUCCCCGCGCUCAACGUGGGAACUGCCUUUGAAACUGGGAAACUGGAGUGUGUGAGAGGGUAGUGGAAUUCCAGGUGUAGGAGUGAAAUCCGUAGAUAUCUGGAGGAACAUCAGUGGCGAAGGCGACUAUCUGGCACAUAACUGACGCUGAGGAGCGAAGGCGUGGGUAGCAAACAGGAUUAGAUACCCGGGUAGUC
RNAcentral lists this ribosomal RNA (465 nucleotides) under uncultured bacterium. RNAcentral's name for it is "partial 16S ribosomal RNA". It matches the Rfam family "Bacterial small subunit ribosomal RNA", at positions 338 to 795 of the family's 1533-position model. The record is from RNAcentral.